This 605-nucleotide ribosomal RNA is filed under the name Xylodon sp. RNAcentral's name for it is "partial small subunit ribosomal RNA". It matches the Rfam family "Bacterial small subunit ribosomal RNA", at positions 362 to 949 of the family's 1533-position model. The record is from RNAcentral. Lineage: Eukaryota; Fungi; Basidiomycota; Agaricomycetes; Hymenochaetales; Schizoporaceae.
UAUUAGUCAAUGCUCGCAAGAGUGAACUAGCUAACUGAAAUCAAAAGUGUGUCACUUUUGAUAAGGUAAGGGAAAAGAAAUGAUACUACCUUACUAUUAGUGUCGUCCAAGUACUCGUGCCAGAAGACUCGGUAAGGCGAGAGACGCAAACGUUAGUCGUCCUAAUCAGGCGUAAAGGGUUUGUAGGCGGCUUUGAGAAUUCAUUCUUUUUAAAUUACAUCUUCUUUUGAAAAAAGGGGAAAAAAGAAAGAGUCAAUUAAAGCUAGAAUCAAAUAGAGGUCAAAUUAAAUAAUACUUGGUGUAAGAUUGGUAUCUUUAAAAACCAAGCGGAAUACUAACGGCGAAGGCUUUUUUCCAAUAAUGAUUGACGCUGAGAAACUAAGGUGAGGACAGAAAAAAGGAUUAGAGACCCUCGUAUUCCUCACUGUCAACGAUGAAUGGUAGUUACUAGAGAAACAUUCAAAUCAAAUUCAAUAAAUGAAAUGAAAUCUAUUCUAGAAGCGAUGUUAACACGAAAACCAUUCCGCCUUGUGAGUACGACUGCAAAGUUGAAAACAAAAAAAUUAGUCGGUUUCGGAGCAAACGAAGUGAAGCAUGUUAUUUAA